This 102-nucleotide small RNA is filed under the name Marmota monax (woodchuck). The record is from RNAcentral. Lineage: Eukaryota; Metazoa; Chordata; Mammalia; Rodentia; Sciuridae.
GCCAGGCAUGGCGGCACAUGCCUGUAAUCCCAGUGGCUCAGAGGUUGAGGCAGGAGGAUCGUGAGUUAAGGCCCUAAGCAACUUAGCGAGACCCUGUCUCUG